RNAcentral lists this ribosomal RNA (613 nucleotides) under Theileria sinensis. Its description in RNAcentral is "SSU rRNA". It matches the Rfam family "Eukaryotic small subunit ribosomal RNA", at positions 457 to 1109 of the family's 1831-position model. Lineage: Eukaryota; Apicomplexa; Aconoidasida; Piroplasmida; Theileriidae. The record is from RNAcentral.
CAGGGAGGUAGUGACAAGAAAUAACAAUACGGGGCUUAAUGUCUUGUAAUUGGAAUGAUGGGAAUUUAAACCUCUUCCAGAGUAUCAAUUGGAGGGCAAGUCUGGUGCCAGCAGCCGCGGUAAUUCCAGCUCCAAUAGCGUAUAUUAAAAUUGUUGCAGUUAAAAAGCUCGUAGUUGAAUUUCUGCUGCAUCGUCGCAUCUCUUGCUGAGUGCUUCAUUGCGGCUUAUUUCGGAUUGAUUUUUUCUUUCCGGAUGAUUACUUUGAGAAAAUUAGAGUGCUCAAAGCAGGCUUUUGCCUUGAAUAGUUUAGCAUGGAAUAAUAAAGUAGGACUUUGGUUCUAUUUUGUUGGUUUUAGGUACCAAAGUAAUGGUUAAUAGGAACAGUUGGGGGCAUUCGUAUUUAACUGUCAGAGGUGAAAUUCUUAGAUUUGUUAAAGACGAACUACUGCGAAAGCAUUUGCCAAGGAUGUUUUCAUUAAUCAAGAACGAAAGUUAGGGGAUCGAAGACGAUCAGAUACCGUCGUAGUCCUAACCAUAAACUAUGCCGACUAGAGAUUGGAGGUCGUCAGUUUUUACGACUCCUUCAGCACCUUGAGAGAAAUCAAAGUCUUGG